This 465-nucleotide ribosomal RNA is filed under the name uncultured bacterium. Its description in RNAcentral is "partial 16S ribosomal RNA". It matches the Rfam family "Bacterial small subunit ribosomal RNA", at positions 339 to 795 of the family's 1533-position model. The record is from RNAcentral.
CUACGGGCGGCUGCAGUGGGGAAUAUUGGACAAUGGGGGCAACCCUGAUCCAGCCAUGCCGCGUGUGUGAAGAAGGCCUUAGGGUUGUAAAGCACUUUCAGAUGUGAGGAAAGGUGUGUGCUUAAUACGUACAUACUGUGACGUUAGCAUCAGAAGAAGGACCGGCUAACUCCGUGCCAGCAGCCGCGGUAAUACGGAGGGGUCCGAGCGUUAAUCGGAAUUACUGGGCGUAAAGCGCGCGUAGGUGGUUUCGUCAGUCAGAUGUGAAAGCCCCGGGCUCAACCUGGGAAUUGCACCUGAUACUGCGGAGCUAGAGUACGGUAGAGGGGAGUGGAAUUUCAGGUGUAGCGGUGAAAUGCGUAGAGAUCGGAAGGAACACCAGUGGCGAAGGCGACUCCCUGGAUUGAUACUGACACUGAGGUGCGAAAGCGUGGGGAGCAAACAGGAUUAGAUACCCCCGUAGUC